RNAcentral lists this ribosomal RNA (475 nucleotides) under uncultured bacterium. RNAcentral describes it as "SSU rRNA". It matches the Rfam family "Bacterial small subunit ribosomal RNA", at positions 26 to 518 of the family's 1533-position model. The record is from RNAcentral.
AGGACGAACGCUGGCGGCGCGCCUAAAACAUGCAAGUCGAACGAGAAGCCCGGGCUUGCCCGGGUGGACAGUGGCGAACGGGUGAGUAACACGUGAGGAACCUGCCCCGAAGACCGGGACAACACCGGGAAACCGGUGCUAAUACCGGAUACCUUCACCGGAUCGCAUGGUCUGGUGAAGAAAUGGAUUCCGCUUCGGGAUGGCCUCGCGGCCUAUCAGCUAGUUGGUGAGGUAACGGCUCACCAAGGCGACGACGGGUAGCUGGUCUGAGAGGAUGUCCAGCCACACUGGGACUGAGACACGGCCCAGACUCCUACGGGAGGCAGCAGUGGGGAAUAUUGCGCAAUGGGCGAAAGCCUGACGCAGCGACGCCGCGUGGGGAUGAAGGCCUUCGGUUGUAACCCUUUCAGCAGGACGAAGCGAAAGUGACGGUACCUGCAGAAGAAGCGCCGGCUAACUACGUGCCAGCAGCCGC